Molecule: ribosomal RNA, 506 nt
Filed under: uncultured bacterium
Lineage: Bacteria
Description: partial 16S ribosomal RNA
Rfam family: Bacterial small subunit ribosomal RNA
Source: RNAcentral
AUUGAACGCUGGCGGCAGGCCUAACACAUGCAAGUCGAACGGUAGCACAGGAGAGCUUGCUCUCUGGGUGACGAGUGGCGGACGGGUGAGUAAGGCAUGGGGAGCUGCCCAAUCGAGGGGGAUACCAGCUGGAAACGGCUGCUAAUACCGCAUACGCCCUGAGGGGGAAAGGUGGGGACCUUCGGGCCUACCGCGAUUGGAUGCACCCAUGUGGGAUUAGCUAGUUGGUGAGGUAACGGCUCACCAAGGCGACGAUCUCUAGCUGGUCUGAGAGGAUGACCGGCCAACCUGGAACUGAGACACGGUCCAGACGCCUACGGGAGGCAGCAGUGGGGAAUAUUGCACAAUGGGGGAAACCCUGAGACAGCCAUGCCGCGUGUGUGAAGAAGGCCUUCGGGUUGUAAAGCACUUUCAGUAGGGAGAAAGGGUUGAUGUCUAAUACGCAUGAGCAUUGACGUUACCUACAGAAGAAGCACCGGCUAAGUCCGUGCCAGCCGCCGCCGUAA